This 107-nucleotide ribosomal RNA is filed under the name Mandrillus leucophaeus (drill). Lineage: Eukaryota; Metazoa; Chordata; Mammalia; Primates; Cercopithecidae. The record is from RNAcentral.
GUCUACAGCCAUAUCACCCUAAAUGUACUUGCUCUCAUGUGAUCCCAGAAGCUAAGCAGAGUCAGGCCUGGCUAAUACUUGGAUGGGAGAAAUAGGGUCAUUAGAUU